This 498-nucleotide ribosomal RNA is filed under the name uncultured bacterium. RNAcentral describes it as "partial 16S ribosomal RNA". It matches the Rfam family "Bacterial small subunit ribosomal RNA", at positions 28 to 507 of the family's 1533-position model. The record is from RNAcentral.
GACGAACGCUGGCGGCGUGCCUAAUACAUGCAAGUCGAACGAGAGCGACCGGUGCUUGCACUGGUCAAUCUAGUGGCGAACGGGUGAGUAACACGUGGGUAACCUGCCCAUCAGAGGGGGAUAACAUCCGGAAACGGAUGCUAAAACCGCAUAGGUCUUCGAACCGCAUGGUUUGAAGAGGAAAAGAGGCGCAAGCUUCUGCUGAUGGAUGGACCCGCGGUGCAUUAGCUAGUUGGUGAGGUAACGGCUCACCAAGGCCGUGAUGCAUAGCCGACCUGAGAGGGUGAUCGGCCACAUUGGGACUGAGACACGGCCCAAACUCCUACGGGAGGCAGCAGUAGGGAAUCUUCCGCAAUGGACGCAAGUUUGACGGAGCAACGCCGCGUGAGUGAAGAAGGUUUUCGGAUCGUAAAACUCUGUUGUUAGAGAAGAACAAGUGCUAGAGUAACUGUUAGCGCCUUGACGGUAUCUAACCAGAAAGCCACGGCUAACUACGUG